This 467-nucleotide ribosomal RNA is filed under the name uncultured bacterium. RNAcentral describes it as "partial 16S ribosomal RNA". It matches the Rfam family "Bacterial small subunit ribosomal RNA", at positions 28 to 507 of the family's 1533-position model. The record is from RNAcentral.
GAUGAACGCUGGCGGCGUGCUUAACACAUGCAAGUCGAACGGAAAGGCCUCUGCUUGCAGGGGUACUCGAGUGGCGAAUGGGUGAGUAACACGUGGGUGAUCUGCCCUGCACUUCGGGAUAAGCCUGGGAAACUGGGUCUAAUACCGGAUAGGACAAUGGUUUGGAUGCUGUUGUGGAAAGUUUUUCGGUGUGGGAUGAGCUCGCGGCCUAUCAGCUUGUUGGUGGGGUAAUGGCCUACCAAGGCGUCGACGGGUAGCCGGCCUGAGAGGGUGUACGGCCACAUUGGGACUGAGAUACGGCCCAGACUCCUACGGGAGGCAGCAGUGGGGAAUAUUGCACAAUGGGCGCAAGCCUGAUGCAGCGACGCCGCGUGGGGGAUGACGGCCUUCGGGUUGUAAACUCCUUUCGCUAGGGACGAAGCGUUUUUGUGACGGUACCUGGAGAAGAAGCACCGGCUAACUACGUG